AUUGAACGCUGGCGGCAUGCCUUACACAUGCAAGUCGAACGGCAGCGGGGGAGAAGCUUGCUUUUCCUGCCGGCGAGUGGCGAACGGGUGAGUAAUACAUCGGAACGUGCCCUGUAGUGGGGGAUAACUAGUCGAAAGAUUAGCUAAUACCGCAUACAACCUGAGGGUGAAAGUGGGGGACCGCAAGGCCUCAUGCUAUAGGAGCGUCCGAUGUCUGAUUAGCUAGUUGGUGGGGGAAAGGCCUACCAAGGCGACGAUCAGUAGCUGGUCUGAGAGGACGAUCAGCCACACUGGGACUGAGACACGGCCCAGACUCCUACGGGAGGCAGCAGUGGGGAAUUUUGGACAAUGGGCGAAAGCCUGAUCCAGCAAUGCCGCGUGUGUGAAGAAGGCCUUCGGGUUGUAAAGCACUUUUGUCCGGAAAGAAAUGGCUCUGGUUAAUACCUGGGGUCGAUGACGGUACCGGAAGAAUAAGGACCGGCUAACUACGUGCCAGCCGCCGCAGUAA
Molecule: ribosomal RNA, 508 nt
Filed under: uncultured bacterium
Lineage: Bacteria
Description: partial 16S ribosomal RNA
Rfam family: Bacterial small subunit ribosomal RNA
Source: RNAcentral